RNAcentral lists this ribosomal RNA (465 nucleotides) under Vreelandella stevensii. RNAcentral's name for it is "partial 16S ribosomal RNA". It matches the Rfam family "Bacterial small subunit ribosomal RNA", at positions 338 to 795 of the family's 1533-position model. The record is from RNAcentral. Lineage: Bacteria; Pseudomonadati; Pseudomonadota; Gammaproteobacteria; Oceanospirillales; Halomonadaceae.
CCUACGGGGGGCUGCAGUGGGGAAUAUUGGACAAUGGGGGCAACCCUGAUCCAGCCAUGCCGCGUGUGUGAAGAAGGCCCUCGGGUUGUAAAGCACUUUCAGUGAGGAAGAACGCCUGGUGGUUAAUACCCAUCAGGAAAGACAUCACUCACAGAAGAAGCACCGGCUAACUCCGUGCCAGCAGCCGCGGUAAUACGGAGGGUGCGAGCGUUAAUCGGAAUUACUGGGCGUAAAGCGCGCGUAGGUGGCUUGAUAAGCCGGUUGUGAAAGCCCCGGGCUCAACCUGGGAACGGCAUCCGGAACUGGCAAGCUAGAGUGCAGGAGAGGAAGGUAGAAUUCCCGGUGUAGCGGUGAAAUGCGUAGAGAUCGGGAGGAAUACCAGUGGCGAAGGCGGCCUUCUGGACUGACACUGACGCUGAGGUGCGAAAGCGUGGGUAGCAAACAGGAUUAGAUACCCUAGUAGUC